RNAcentral lists this microRNA precursor (62 nucleotides) under Trialeurodes vaporariorum (greenhouse whitefly). Its description in RNAcentral is "mir-9/mir-79 microRNA precursor family". It matches the Rfam family "mir-9/mir-79 microRNA precursor family", at positions 1 to 62 of the family's 78-position model. From Rfam's summary of the family: The mature ~21nt miRNAs are processed from hairpin precursor sequences represented here. miR-9 is processed from the 5' arm of its precursor, and miR-79 from the 3' arm. The bounds of the precursors are predicted based on conservation and base pairing and are not generally known. Lineage: Eukaryota; Metazoa; Arthropoda; Insecta; Hemiptera; Aleyrodidae. The record is from RNAcentral.
CUCUUUGGUUACCUAGCUGUAUGAGUGUUAUUGAGAUUUCAUAAAGUUAGGCGACCGAAGUU